GCAGCCCAUAAAACAGAGGGGGAAUAUGAGCAGCAUCCUGUCCUCCUCGCCCCACCAGGUGGCCACCUCCCUCACAGAUGUGAAGUGGCAAGGGCCUACCUGUUCUUCCCGCUUGGCUUGCACAAUGUGUGCCUGAGUCAGUGCCCUGGAGGCCACCUCCCCACCCUGCUGUUUACAAACACCCCAAGCCUGCCCGGGCCUGCAUCAGUGGCCUUUGGGUGCAUGAUCGAGCGGGAACACACACAGCCGCACACAGGUGGGUGGGAGGCAGGCUGCUGAGUUGGUGAGAGCACCAGGCUGUCCGCUCCCGUGGACAUGCCAUCAGGUCCACGGCCACCAGACCUGGCACUGCCAGGUUGCAGAUAGGAAUACUGGAGCCACAUGGAGUACUAAAAGGAAUUCAAUGGAGAGGAAUGAUGGAGCCCAGCACCUCCCUGCCCCCUUAAAUCGGAGCCACCACAGCCAGGCUGGGGAUUCCUGCCCAUGGUCCUGAGACAGGCUUCCAUUCUGAUUCUGGUGACAUGAAGCCUGUGGUGACAGGGCAUUCAGCUCUUUCUUCAAACCCUGCUCCCUGGGGUCACGUGUCUCUGAGAUGACCCCUCUCCCCUGCAGUGUCUACCCUCUGGCACCAGCCCAAGCUACUGCACUCCAGAGGAAGAACUGCAGCAGUGGCAGGUGGGAAAACGCUCCAUCCUGGAUCUCAGAGAAGGCAGCAUUCACCAGCGUCC
This is a long non-coding RNA of Nyctereutes procyonoides (raccoon dog), 728 nucleotides long. RefSeq lists it as uncharacterized. The transcript has 5 exons. The record is from RefSeq and is a predicted model, not a curated record. Lineage: Eukaryota; Metazoa; Chordata; Mammalia; Carnivora; Canidae.